This is a long non-coding RNA of Canis lupus familiaris (dog), 393 nucleotides long. RefSeq lists it as uncharacterized. The record is from RefSeq and is a predicted model, not a curated record. The transcript is spliced from 3 exons. Lineage: Eukaryota; Metazoa; Chordata; Mammalia; Carnivora; Canidae.
GUUGGAAUUUCAAGUCAUCUAUUCACCCAGGCUGGCUGCUUAUCAGAAUCACCUGGGGAACUUUGGAAACAUUCACAUUUCCCGUGGCUCCCUUGGAGAGCUGAGUGGCCUCCAGAGAAGGUCCCUGAGGGUUUUCGCCCCCUUCACUGGUGUGGGAACUGAGGCAUGGGAGGCUGGAAACAUUGCCAAGUAAACCAAGUCUUCAGGUCUUGGGGAUUUUCCUGAAUUAACUAUUCUCUACUGAGGCAUGGCACGUGACCCAAACCAUGAUAUGGGAACCGGUGUAGAAGUGUGGCGUCACACAUCAGACAGACCUGCAAGUUGUCCUGACCCCUGGUUUCUUCACCUGCAAAAUAAAGAUGGCACUGCCCAUGCCCCUUGUUGUUACAUCAG